AUGAAAUUAGAAAAAAGAGUAGAAGAUAAUGGAUUUGUAGUUAUAAAUGCAUCGAAUUGUAUAUUAUCAGUAGAUGCAGAUGAAAAAAAACAAAUAAGUACAACUAAUAAUUUAUUUAAUGUAAAUAACUAUGUAAAAAAAAAUCGAAAUCAACGUUUUAUUGGAGAAACAGUUAAAAUAUUAAAAGGGAUAUAUAAAGGGUUGUUAGCAGAUAUAAUAGGUUCAGAAGCAGAUGAAUUUACACUAUUAUUAAAAAUUAAACCUAAAACUAUUAGACAGCAUAAAGAAGAUUGUGUACUUAUGGAUGGUGAUGAAGAAGUACCUGCAGCAUUUCAUAAUAGUGGAGAUAAUAAUAAUAAUAAAAAGGGAAUUGUUGAUAAUGUUGGUAGGUUUAAUGAAAGGAACAACCGUGGCAAUCGUGGCACUCGUGGUGGUUAUGGUGGUUAUGGUAGUCGUGGAUAUAUGGGGAAAAGUGGACCUGUACCUGGUUUUGGAAGUGGACCUAGUUUGGGAAGUGGAUCUAAUUUUGGGACUGGUUAUCGUGAUAAAUAUAAUACAUAUGGUAGUAGUUAUUAUUCGCGUCGUGACAAUUAUAGUAAUAUAAAUACUGGUGUAAAUGAUAAUAAUCCAUAUUCUUCUAAAUAUAAAAAGUUUCCAACACACGAUUCUGUACCCUACAAUAAUAACACUACUACCGCUACUACUACUGCUACUACUACUGUUACUACUACUGUUGCUACUACUGUUGCUACUACUAAUAAUAAUAAUAGUAAUAGUAAUAAUACUAAUAGUAAUAAUAGUAGUAGUAAUAAUAAUAAUAAUAAUAGUAGUAGUAAUAUUGAUAAAAAAAAAGGAAAAUAUGAAACGAAUAGAAAUGAUAGAAAUUAUAAAGAACAGCACAGAUAUGGCAGUAGCCACACUCGUAGUUACAGUCGCGACCGUAGUUAUAGUCGUGACCAUAAUUAUAGUCGUGAUGAACAACAUAAGAGUAAUGUUUCAAAUACAUAUAAAAAUAUAAGUACUAAAAAUUAUAGUAAUAAUGAGAAUAAUAAUAAUUAUAGUAUGAAUAAAUCAAAAUGGUCAGAUGCUAUUAAAACUGAUAGUGGUGGUGAAUAUAAAGAUUUUAAUUCAUUUUCAAAUAUUGAUAUAAAAAGUGGUAAUAUAAAAAGUGGUAAUAUAAAAAGUGGUAAUNNNNNNNNNNAAAAGUGGUAAUAUAAAAAGUGGUAAUAUAAAAAGUGGUAAUAUAAACAGUGGUAAUAUAAGAAGUGAUGAUAGUAAUAGGCAUAACAACAUAAGUAAUGAGCAUAAUAAUAUAAAUAUGAUUGAAAAGAGUAAUGAUGAAUAUAUUAAUUGGGUAGUUGAAGGCGUAGUAGUAAAAAUAAUUACACCUGGUGCUUUUUAUAAUGAAUUAGGACGAAUUACAGAAGUUAUAAAAAAGGUUUCUUACACUAUUUUAAAAAUAGCAACAGAUAAAACAAACUUUAGUAUUGUUGCUGAUGCAGUUGUUCCUUUGAAACCUAAUAAACCAAACGACGAAGUAGUUAUUUUGUUUAAA
This 1555-nucleotide long non-coding RNA is filed under the name Piliocolobus tephrosceles (Ugandan red Colobus). RNAcentral describes it as "lncRNA (ENSPTEG00000031035.1)". Lineage: Eukaryota; Metazoa; Chordata; Mammalia; Primates; Cercopithecidae. The record is from RNAcentral.